GACGAACGCUGGCGGCGUGCUUAACACAUGCAAGUCGAACGGAAAGGCCUGCUUUCCCUUGUGGAUUGCGGGUACUCGAGUGGCGAACGGGUGAGUAACACGUGAGUGAUCUGCCCCCAACUUGGGUAUAAGCCUGGGAAACUGGGUCUAAUUCCCGAUAGGACUGCAGGGUGGUGCCUGUGGUGGAAAACGAUUUUCUAGUGGUUGGGGAUGAGCUCGCGGCCUAUCAGCUUGUUGGUGGGGUAAUGGCCUACCAAGGCGGCGACGGGUAGCCGGCCUGAGAGGGUGGACGGCCACAUUGGGACUGAGAUACGGCCCAGACUCCUACGGGAGGCAGCAGUGGGGAAUAUUGCACAAUGGGCGGAAGCCUGAUGCAGCGACGCCGCGUGGGGGAUGACGGCCUUCGGGUUGUAAACUCCUUUCGACCGCGAGGAAGCCACCUGGUUGGAAGGGUUGUGACGGUAGUGGUAGAAGAAGCACCGGCUAACUACGUG
This 494-nucleotide ribosomal RNA is filed under the name uncultured bacterium. RNAcentral's name for it is "partial 16S ribosomal RNA". It matches the Rfam family "Bacterial small subunit ribosomal RNA", at positions 28 to 507 of the family's 1533-position model. The record is from RNAcentral.